This is a long non-coding RNA of Bombus terrestris (buff-tailed bumblebee), 1317 nucleotides long. RefSeq lists it as uncharacterized. NCBI's taxonomy places the organism in Eukaryota, Metazoa, Arthropoda, Insecta, Hymenoptera, Apidae. The transcript has 2 exons. The record is from RefSeq and is a predicted model, not a curated record.
CAUAUUCCUAAAAUGGAAAACAUUAUAUUUUUAUAACGAUUUCUAUUAUUAAAAUCGUUAUGCCUCGUGAAAAGAACACGGAUUGAACAGAAAAUAUUUAUAAUUUUACUUAGAUUUUCCAGAAGAAAACAAAUCAAUUAACUGUAAGAAAAGAUGAAUGCAAUGUGUAUCAUAUGGGACUUUUUAUGUAUACGAACUAUUUCAAAGCAACUUGCAGUAAAUAUUUUGAAAAGCUUUAAUUCAUAAUAAUGAAUUAAUUGUUUAACAACCUCUUGAUGUUACUUUAUUUCGUAAUUAUUGCUUUUAUUCAUGCAUAUAUGAGAAUAUAGAAAUACCACUAUAUGAUAGUAAAGAAUACUAAUAUCCAAAUAUUAUCUACGUAUUUUUAAAAAAUUCUAAUUUCAAUAAAUUAUUAUACAAGACGUGAAACAAAAGAUCAGUUUUCAAAACUUCUCCAUUUGUCAACCUUAUUUCAAAGUAACAUUUAAAAUAAUAAUUACGCUAAAAUUAAAAUGCGCGUUAUAGAUUAUUUAACGUGACAAUCGCUAAUUAUGAACAACUAUAAUUUUAAAACUGCAACAUUUUUUUUGUUGACAAAAGAAAUAUAAGUUAUUUGUAUUUGUACUAAAUACCUUCGAAAACAAAUAAAUAAGUAGUGUAUAUAAUUGAAAGAAUUCUAUUUAUUAAAAAUGCUAUAAUUAAAUAUCUAAAUAUAUCUUUAAAAAAUUUACUAUGUAGAAAAUUGAAUACAUAUCAUAUUUUAAUUUAGAUUUUAUACAUAUACAUUUAGUCCUUUAACGGCUCUUUCAAAUGUCAAACAUAACCUAUGCUUUCUUAACGAUAAUUAACAAUUUUAAAAUGAUAUUUAACAAAUGUCAAUAAUAUAGCAUGUUUCAAAACAUUAAGCGGUUUCAAAUGACAGUGGUUUCAAAGUCUCUCGGCUAUUGCAAUGUGUAAAGGAAAGAUGUAGGGAAGGAAAAAUUAAGAAAAAAUUAUUGCGUAUAAAAAAAUCAUUUGACAAAGGUAUAAAAAUGUAUAGUAUAAGGUAUAAAAAAUGUUAAAUAAACUUCUGGAAAAUCUGAAACUUAUAUUUGGUAUAUAUGUAGAUAUUCACAUUCGAACAGCAAUUAAUAUAAAGUAAGGGUAUUUGUAAUGAUGUAGAAUAAUGAGCAUAAUUUUUUUAUUUUUUAUCCUUGUCCUUGUCUUUGUCCUUUUCUUUCUCUCUCUCUUUAUCUUUAUCUUUGUUCUGUUGAAGAGACCCAACGGCUUGGCGGACGGCUUCCGAAUGAGGAUCAACACCUGGUAAAUUUUCCAAAA